RNAcentral lists this ribosomal RNA (115 nucleotides) under uncultured bacterium. Its description in RNAcentral is "partial 16S ribosomal RNA". It matches the Rfam family "Bacterial small subunit ribosomal RNA", at positions 390 to 496 of the family's 1533-position model. The record is from RNAcentral.
AGCGAUGCCGCGUGAGCGAGGAAGGCCUUCGGGUCGUAAAGCUCUGUUGUCAGGGAAGAACAAGUACCGUUCGACAAGGGUGGUACCUUGACGGUACCUGACGAGAAAGCCCCGG